RNAcentral lists this ribosomal RNA (465 nucleotides) under uncultured bacterium. RNAcentral describes it as "bacterial SSU rRNA". It matches the Rfam family "Bacterial small subunit ribosomal RNA", at positions 338 to 795 of the family's 1533-position model. The record is from RNAcentral.
CCUACGGGCGGCACCAGUGGGGAAUAUUGGACAAUGGGCGCAAGCCUGAUCCAGCAAUGCCGCGUGUGUGAAGAAGGCCUUUGGGUUGUAAAGCACUUUUAUCAGGAACGAAAUACCACGGGUUAAUACCCUAUGGGGCUGACGGUACCUGAGGAAUAAGCACCGGCUAACUUCGUGCCAGCAGCCGCGGUAAUACGAAGGGUGCAAGCGUUAAUCGGAAUUACUGGGCGUAAAGCGUGCGUAGGCGGUUUGUUAAGUCUGCUGUGAAAGCCCUGGGCUCAACCUGGGAAUGGCAGUGGAAACUGGCGAGCUAGAGUGUGAUAGAGGAUGGUGGAAUUCCCGGUGUAGCGGUGAAAUGCGUAGAGAUCGGGAGGAACAUCAGUGGCGAAGGCGGCCAUCUGAAUCGACACUGACGCUGAGGCACGAAAGCGUGGGGAGCAAACAGGAUUAGAUACCCUGGUAGUC